AGCCCGGUCGUCUAGCGGCCAAGGAUGCUGGGCUCUGGAUCGCGAGCUCAGAGGGCUGGAUUGGGCCGCGAGGCGAACCCCAGCGACGGGAGUUCGAAUCUCCCCCGGGCUACCA
This 115-nucleotide transfer RNA is filed under the name Conexivisphaera calida. RNAcentral's name for it is "Conexivisphaera calidus tRNA-Gln". It matches the Rfam family "tRNA". From Rfam's summary of the family: Transfer RNA (tRNA) molecules are approximately 80 nucleotides in length. Their secondary structure includes four short double-helical elements and three loops (D, anti-codon, and T loops). Lineage: Archaea; Thermoproteati; Nitrososphaerota; Conexivisphaeria; Conexivisphaerales; Conexivisphaeraceae. The record is from RNAcentral.